UACGUAGGUGGCAAGCGUUGUCCGGAUUUAUUGGGCGUAAAGCGCGCGCAGGCGGUCCUUUAAGUCUGAUGUGAAAGCCCACGGCUUGACCGUGGAGGGUCAUUGGAAACUGGUCGACUUGAGUGCAGAAGAGGGAAGUGGAAUUCCAUGUGUAGCGGUGAAAUGCGUAGAGAUAUGGAGGAACACCAGUGGCGAAGGCGACUUUCUGGUCUGUAACUGACGCUGAGGCGCGAAAGCGUGGGGAGGCAAACAGGAUUAGAUA
This 262-nucleotide ribosomal RNA is filed under the name uncultured prokaryote. RNAcentral's name for it is "partial 16S ribosomal RNA". It matches the Rfam family "Bacterial small subunit ribosomal RNA", at positions 524 to 784 of the family's 1533-position model. The record is from RNAcentral.